UACGGAGGAUGCGAGCGUUAUCCGGAUUUAUUGGGUUUAAAGGGUGCGUAGGCGGACACUUAAGUCAGCGGUAAAAUUGCGGGGCUCAACCUCGUCGAGCCGUUGAAACUGGGUGCCUUGAGUGGGCGAGAAGUACGCGGAAUGCGUGGUGUAGCGGUGAAAUGCAUAGAUAUCACGCAGAACUCCGAUUGCGAAGGCAGCGUACCGGCGCCCUACUGACGCUGAAGCAUGAAGGCGUGGGUAUCGAACAGG
This 252-nucleotide ribosomal RNA is filed under the name uncultured bacterium. RNAcentral's name for it is "partial 16S ribosomal RNA". It matches the Rfam family "Bacterial small subunit ribosomal RNA", at positions 524 to 776 of the family's 1533-position model. The record is from RNAcentral.